CCGAGCUAGUUAAGGCGUCUUUACUUGCUUAAACUACAGGCUGGUAGGUUGCAGAUUCGAAUCCAGGCAGCGACAGUGCGAAAAAAAAUAGUUAAUGGGGCGAUAAAUUGAUCACAUUGUCGUCGCUUGGAUAAGAACAAAAUAAUUGAAUA
This is a long non-coding RNA of Chrysoperla carnea, 152 nucleotides long. RefSeq lists it as uncharacterized. The record is from RefSeq and is a predicted model, not a curated record. Lineage: Eukaryota; Metazoa; Arthropoda; Insecta; Neuroptera; Chrysopidae. The transcript has 3 exons.